UCAAUUUACAAUGACCAACUAACCUACCAACUGCUACGUCUAACCUGCCAACUGGAACUGUUCCAGCCUGCGAUUUAUUGCUUGGAGAUCGACUAGGUGAUCCAGCAUUUUGCUGUCUCCAAGAAGAUUCCGGGACGUGAGCAAGUACUUGGACGGCCUUGAAGCAAAGAAACUUGGAGACUGGACGCAAACCGAUGAUCGAUUCCACUUUGCCGAUUAAAACAUUGAGGAAGAUAAAGACGGGGAAGUGAAUGUGGAAAGUGUGCAAGAGUUCAGUACUGACUGCCUGCAUUUUGAUCACUGCUGGAGAAGGAGUUCCUGUGUGGCCUAUCACUGUGUGGCUCGCUGUGGCAGCCGGACGCUGCCUGACUUGCUGAGUGUUUUCAGCCUGAAUGGCCUUCAACUGGACCGAUGAAUCUAUUACUGAACAGGGUUCAGAGGCAGGUCUGUGUAAAACAAAAGAAGUCUCCUUCGCUCCUCAUCGACUGAAGGUGAUUAAAUUACUGGACUGGUAUCUUAGCGUGAUUAAAGAUCAGUUAAAGCUAAUCUUUAAUUGACUAGAUUAAUAAACUAGUCUAGCUCUUAGACUAGCAUUUUAACUGUCACAUGUACAUUGAAAGAUACAGUGAAAUGUGUUCUUCUGUGUCAAUGGCCAACACAAUUCAAGGUUUGUGCUUGGGGCAGCCUGUAUGUUUCCCGGUUUACUAACCUUCAUCUGUAUGUCUUUGGAAUGUGGGAGGAAACUGGAGCACCAGGAAAAAACCCACAUGAUCAUGGGAGCAACAUAUAAAUUGUAUAGGCAGUGCUGGGUAUUGAACCCUGAUUGGUGCUGCAAGGCAAUGUGCUAACUGUAAAGUUACCAUGCCACCGGAAGGCUAAGAGAUUUGAACAUAACUACAAGAACCAGAGUUAGAAUCCUACCAUUGCCUGCUGUGGAGUUUAAAUUCAGAUAUUCAUCUGAAAUUUGUAAAUAAAAAUUGUCACAAAGACCAACAAACUACAGGAUUUCUGUUGAAAUCCAUCUGCUUCAUCAAUGUCUUACAGUAGGAAGAAAUCGGCUGAAAACCAAAAUCUAUUUUGGUCUAUGUAUACUCAGUGGCCUCUUUUUUAGAUAUACCUGUGUAUCUGCUUGUUAAUGCAAAUAUCUAAUCAGCCAAUCCUGUGGCAGCAACUCAAUGCAUAAGAGCAUGCAGACACGGUCAAGAGGUUCAGUUUUUGUUCAGACCAGACAUCAAGCACAUCGCUCUCUAGGGUUAUACAGAGAAUGGUGCAGAAAACAAAAAAAAAUCCGGUGAUUGACCGAUCUGUGCGUGAAAACACCUUGUAAAGAGAGAGGUCAGACGGAGUCGAGGCAGACUUGUUCAAGCUGACAGGAAGGCAACAGUAACUGAAAUAGCCUCGUAACAGUGGUGUACAGAAGAGCACCUUCGUACACACAACACGUCAAACGCCGAUGUGGGUAGGCCACAGCAGCAGAAGCUCAAGUCGGGUCAGGAGAGCUUCUAAAGUGGUGAAAUGCAGUGGGUGGGAAGACAGCUGGUAGGAGGGGUGGUGCAGAAUAUGUUGGAAUUAUCACAGAAAUUUCAAAGUAAAUUUAUUAUCAAAGUUUGUAUAUGCCAUUAUAUACUACCUUGAGAUUAAUUUCCUUGCAGACAUUUGCAGGAACAUAAAGAAAUACAAUAUAAUUUAUUAAGCCUAUACAUAAACAAAGACUGACAGACAACCAAUGUGCAAAAGGAGAAAAAAACUGCAAAUAAAUAUUAAUAAUACUGAGAAAAUUAGUUGUAGAGACCUUGAAAGUGAGUCCAUAGGUUGUGGAAUCAGUUCAGAGUUGAGAUGAGGGCAGUUACCCACGCUGGUUCAGGAGCCUGAUGGAUGAAAGGCAAUAAUUGUUCUUGAACCUGUUGCUUUGGGAUCCAAGGCUUUUGUAGGUCCUGCCCAAUGGUCAUAGCGAGAAGAGAAUGUGGCCUGGAUGGUGGGGGUCCUGGAUGAUGGAUGAUGCUCUCUUGUGGCAGUGUUCCAGGUAAAUAUGUUUAGCGGUGGGGAGGGAGGGGUCAAAGGUUAUGUCAUUAUGUCACUAAGGGCAGAGGUGUGAAAUUACGGUGUCAACUGACCUUGAAUGGAAUGAAAAAUGCUCCAGGAGUCAGAGUCAAAGUGGAAGUCAAAUUGAUUAUCAAAGUACCAUCUGAUCACAUCAAAAUUAAUCUGAAGAAAUUCAACUUUACAUAUAAAAAACAGGGAAGAUAUUGCACUCAAUAGAUAGACCAGGAGGAAAUCUGUUCAAGAGAGAACUGUGCUAUAUAAGGUCAACUUCUACUUUGCAGCAGAGAACAAGUGGCUGCUGCUAAGGAAGAGAAUGAUCAACCAAAGGAUUCAACCACUAACCACAGCCACCACUUACUCUUGCCACACUCAACAUUCCCUCUAAAUAUUUUUCUAAACAGCUGUGUGAACCAUCUAUUGCCCUGAGUAGGAAUCCAUUCUAAUUAAUUAAAUUAUUUGUUUUUACACAGCCUGAAAACUGCGUGGCACUUUACAUGUUCUGUUUGUAAUUAUGUAUACCAUGAACAUUUAGAUUUACAUCAAACACAAAUGACACUCACAACACAAGUGAAUAUUGUCAGGUCGUCAAAUCAACUGGUGUCUGUGUUUAGCAGGUCAGUGUUUAUUUCCAUUCUGUAUUUAUUGUUACAAUUUGUAACAGUGUUGUAACUUGAAACACUGACAAUGUAAAUACAUUGAAGCUCUAAAUUAUUACAAAAUAAAAGCUAUGGUGCAUUUAUUAUAUCAGAAAUUUAUGCAUUAUAUUCAUUAACGCCAAAUUCAUUAGAGGAUAUUUCACAAUUAUAUUAGCAUAAUUACAAAAUUAUAUUAACAGAAAACUAUAUUAAAAAAAUUCCAGCUUUGUGGCAACAAGGCUAUGUGCAUGGAAGCAUUUCAGUUACUGUGUGGCCGUGCACCCGUGCAGUUUAAAGAAAGCAGUGCCCACACUGCACCAGAAUAUGUAGAUCCUGGAUCAGCCUCUACAGACACCUGAGGACCCACCAAUAAACAAUUCCUUUGGAGAACAUCAUACUCGACUCAAGAGAUUGCACUACAAUUUUAUCUCACCAUAUACUGUACUACCUUGAGCUGGUGUGUAGCCAAGUGGUUAAGGCAUUCGUCUAGUGAUCUGAAGCUCGCUAGUUCGAGCCUUGGCUGAGGCUGCGUGUGUGUCCUUGAGCAAGGCACUUAACCACACAUUGCUCUGCGAUGACACCGGUGCCAGGCUGUAUGGGUCCUAAUGCCCUUCCCUUGGACAACAUCGGUGGUGUGGAGAGGGGAGACUUGCAGCUUGGGCAAUUGCCGGUCUUCCAUAAAAGAAAAACGUUGCCCAGGCUUGCGCCCUGUAAACUCUCCAAGGCACAAAUCCAUGGUCUAUUGAGACUAAUGGAGGUCUACACUACCUUGAGACUUUUCUUGAAAAUAGAGAA
Long non-coding RNA from Hypanus sabinus (Atlantic stingray), 3473 nucleotides. RefSeq lists it as uncharacterized. The transcript is spliced from 3 exons. The record is from RefSeq and is a predicted model, not a curated record. Lineage: Eukaryota; Metazoa; Chordata; Chondrichthyes; Myliobatiformes; Dasyatidae.